UGCGCCUUGCCAGCCCGCUCAGAAACUCAAAGAAUUGACGGGGCCGCACAGCGGAGGAGCAUGUGGUUUAAUUCGAUGAUACGCGAGGAACCUUACCUGGGCUUAAAUGCUUAAUGACGUACUGGGAAACUGGUAUUUCUUCGGACAUUUUGCAAGGUGCUGCAUGGUUGUCGUCAGCUCGUGCCGUGAGGUGUCGGGUUAAGUCCCAUAACGAGCGCAACCCCUAUUGUUAGUUGCCAUCAGGUCAUGCUGGGGACUCUAACAAAACUGCCCGCGUAAGCGUGGAGGAAGGUGGGGAUGACGUCAAAUCAGCACGGCCCUUACGUCCAGGGCUACACACGUGCUACAAUGGCCGGUACAGAGGGCAGCCACUUGGUGACAAGGAGCAAAUCUCAAAAGCCGGUCUCAGUUCGGAUCGGAGUCUGCAACUCGACUCCGUGAAGUUGGAUUCGCUAGUAAUCGUAGAUCAGCAAUGCUACGGUGAAUACGUUCCCGGGCCUU
Molecule: ribosomal RNA, 501 nt
Filed under: uncultured Bacteroidota bacterium
Lineage: Bacteria; Pseudomonadati; Bacteroidota
Description: bacterial SSU rRNA
Rfam family: Bacterial small subunit ribosomal RNA
Source: RNAcentral